CAAGGUCAGUUGUAUUGAGAGCACUAACAAAUUAUAUUUGCUAUUGGGGUCAAAAAUCAGGUGUUGAGUGAUGUAGACUUUUCUUGUAAUCAUGGGUAAAAAUAUACACAUAUACUGAUGAAAAAAAUUCAAUUAAAUUGUGUAAUGCAGAGCAAAACUAUUAUUGCAGAUUUUGGAGUUUUCACAACAAGAGUAAACUUAAGGUGACUUUAUUCUUGAAAAUGUUGGAGACUGAGAGGCAGAUGUGUAAACAGACAACUCUGCAUGGAAUUGGAGGAUACAAGUAUAUAACUGAAUGCAUUCUGUCUGGAUUUCUGUAUGAUGACAGAAGGCUUUGAUAUGGGGAGAAUUGGAGUGGCUAAGAAUCAGACGGAGACCCAAUGUCCGUUCACAUGGAAUACCAGGGUUUGCAAAGGAGGACAUUGGAACUGGCUUAAGUAUUCGAACUUCUGAUGGCAGUUGAUGAAAGAAGAUGUCAUACUUAGGGAAACAUUAAAUUACUUUGAAUGAUAUUACCUAAAAACAUCAAACAACAGGGGAAAAAAGAGGACUGCCUAUUUCCGAUUUAUCUUUACAUAACAACACCCAAAGCACUACCAUCAAAAAAUUAAAAUCAAUAUAUAGGAAGAAAAAAUGAAGACAUUGAUUAAAAGAAAAGAAGUUCAAAGAGUUUCGAAUAUUAUGUCAAGUUGUCAACGACAACACAGAUCUGGAAAUGGAUUUUCUUGCCUAAUAAUUAUAUUAAAGGCAUGUUCAUGCAUGACUUUUGUUCCAACUGUGUUCCCUGUAUCAAAAAAACCAUCACAUCUUGUGUAACACCAACAAAACAGCUUUUUAUUGUUUGGACAUUAAAUGCUUAUGAUUAUACUUAAAAUUGCAAGAAAAAGGACUGUACCUAUGUAAAGUACAAUGCAGCAAUAUACAAAAAAAAGAUUGUCUAACAAUAUUUUUGUCUCUGUUAUUUGUGUUGUACUGGUAUACACAUAUGUAUUGGAUCAUGAGAAAUAAAAAAAAAAAAAUUCUUGAUUUAAAGAUGAAGAAAGUUUGGGAAAGUCUUGGAAUUAGUGUUUGAAAGGUAUAUAUAUAAACUAUGUUGUGUAUAAAUCUUUAUAUACUUUUGUUAAAUCAGAGUGCAUAUUUCUUUAGAUAAGUAAAGAAGUUAAAUAGAGCAAUUUAUCAAAUAAUCAUUCAAUAAGUAAUGCAUUCAUUUAAUAGGUUCAUUAAUGUUAAGCACUUUGAUAGAAACAGUUGUAAAGGAAUAUUUUUUCAUAUAUUGAGAAUUUAAAGAAUUUUUAAAUCAGUCAGUGAAAAUAAUUCCUUAUCUUUAUACAGUCAUGUAUGUACAAAUGUUUUCACGAUGAAAUGACUAUGCAAAGAAUGGAA
Molecule: long non-coding RNA, 1383 nt
Organism: Saccostrea echinata
Lineage: Eukaryota; Metazoa; Mollusca; Bivalvia; Ostreida; Ostreidae
Exons: 3
Source: RefSeq, a predicted model, not a curated record